This 253-nucleotide ribosomal RNA is filed under the name uncultured bacterium. RNAcentral describes it as "partial 16S ribosomal RNA". It matches the Rfam family "Bacterial small subunit ribosomal RNA", at positions 524 to 776 of the family's 1533-position model. The record is from RNAcentral.
UACGUAGGGGGCUAGCGUUGUCCGGAAUCAUUGGGCGUAAAGCGCGUGUAGGCGGCCCGGUAAGUCCGCUGUAAAAGUCGGGGGCUCAACCCUCGAAAGCCGGUGGAUACUGUCGGGCUAGAGUACGGAAGAGGCGAGUGGAAUUCCUGGUGUAGCGGUGAAAUGCGCAGAUAUCGGGAGGAACACCAAUGGCGAAGGCAGCUCGCUGGGACGCGACUGACGCUGAGACGCGAAAGCGUGGGGAGCAAACAGG